RNAcentral lists this ribosomal RNA (470 nucleotides) under uncultured bacterium. RNAcentral describes it as "bacterial SSU rRNA". It matches the Rfam family "Bacterial small subunit ribosomal RNA", at positions 335 to 798 of the family's 1533-position model. The record is from RNAcentral.
ACUCCUACGGGAGGCAGCAGUGGGGAAUAUUGCACAAUGGGCGCAAGCCUGAUGCAGCCAUGCCGCGUGUGUGAAGAAGGCCUUCGGGUUGUAAAGCACUUUCAGUCGUGAGGAAGGCGGGUACGUUAAUAGCGUAUUCGUUUGACGUUAGCGACAGAAGAAGCACCGGCUAACUCCGUGCCAGCAGCCGCGGUAAUACGGAGGGUGCGAGCGUUAAUCGGAAUUACUGGGCGUAAAGCGCAUGCAGGUGGUUUGUUAAGUCAGAUGUGAAAGCCCGGGGCUCAACCUCGGAAUAGCAUUUGAAACUGGCAGACUAGAGUACUGUAGAGGGGGUAGAAUUUCAGGUGUAGCGGUGAAAUGCGUAGAGAUCUGAAGGAAUACCGGUGGCGAAGGCGGCCCCUGGACAGAUACUGACACUCAGAUGCGAAAGCGUGGGAGCAAACAGGAUUAGAUACCCCGUGGUAGGACAG